GAUGAACGCUGGCGGCGUGCCUAAUACAUGCAAGUCGAGCGAACAGAUGAGGAGCUUGCUCCUCUGACGUUAGCGGCGGACGGGUGAGUAACACGUGGAUAACCUACCUAUAAGACUGGGAUAACUACGGGAAACCGGAGCUAAUACGGGAUGAUAUAUUGAACCGCAUGGUUCAAUAGUGAAAGACGGUUUUGCUGUCACUUAUAGAUGGAUCCGCGCCGCAUUAGCUAGUUGGUAAGGUAACGGCUUACCAAGGCAACGAUGGGUAGCCGACCUGAGAGGGUGAACGGCCACCCGGGAAGUGAGACACGGUCCCGACUCCUACGGGAGGCAGCAGUAGGGAAUCUUCCGCAAGGGGCGAAAGCCUGACGGUGCAACGCCGCGUGAGUGAUGAAGUUCUUCGGAUCGUAAAACUCUGUUAUUAGGGAAGAACAAAUGUGUAAGUAACUAUGCACGUCUUGACGGUACCUAAUCAGAAGGCCACGGCUAACUACGUG
RNAcentral lists this ribosomal RNA (497 nucleotides) under uncultured bacterium. Its description in RNAcentral is "partial 16S ribosomal RNA". It matches the Rfam family "Bacterial small subunit ribosomal RNA", at positions 28 to 507 of the family's 1533-position model. The record is from RNAcentral.